RNAcentral lists this ribosomal RNA (707 nucleotides) under uncultured bacterium. Its description in RNAcentral is "bacterial SSU rRNA". It matches the Rfam family "Bacterial small subunit ribosomal RNA", at positions 134 to 852 of the family's 1533-position model. The record is from RNAcentral.
UACAACGGGAUACCCGAGGGAAACUUCGGUUAAUACGGUAUAAGACCACACUACCGCAUGGUAGAGGGGUAAAAGGGGCAACCUGGUAUGAGAUGGACUCGCGUCGCAUUAGCUAGUUGGUGAGGUAACGGCCCACCAAGGCGACGAUGCGUAGCCGACCUGAGAGGGUGAUCGGCCACAUUGGGACUGAGAUACGGCCCAGACUCCUACGGGAGGCAGCAGUGGGGAAUAUUGGGCAAUGGAGGAAACUCUGACCCAGCAAUGCCGCGUGAACGAAGAAGGUCUUCGGAUUGUAAAGUUCUUUAGUCAGGGAAGAAGUCAAUGACGGUACCUGAAGAAUAAGCUCCGGCUAACUACGUGCCAGCAGCCGCGGUAAUACGUAGGGAGCAAGCGUUGUUCGGAAUGACUGGGCGUAAAGGGUGCGUAGGCGGUUGUACAAGUUAGAAGUGAAAUACCCAGGGCUUAACUCGGGUGCUGCUUCUAAAACUGUAUGACUUGAGUGCAGUAGAGGUUAGUGGAAUUCCUAGUGUAGCGGUGGAAUGCGUAGAUAUUAGGAGGAACACCAGAGGCGAAGGCGGCUAACUGGACUGCAACUGACGCUGAGGCACGAAAGUGUGGGGAGCAAACAGGAUUAGAUACCCUGGUAGUCCACACUGUAAACGAUGGAUACUGGAUGUAGGAGGUAUCGACUCCUUCUGCGUCGCAGU